RNAcentral lists this ribosomal RNA (517 nucleotides) under Arthrobotrys thaumasius. RNAcentral's name for it is "SSU rRNA". It matches the Rfam family "Eukaryotic small subunit ribosomal RNA", at positions 60 to 567 of the family's 1831-position model. The record is from RNAcentral. Lineage: Eukaryota; Fungi; Ascomycota; Orbiliomycetes; Orbiliales; Orbiliaceae.
UUAGUACUUGUUGGGUUGGCAGCAGACUGUAUACAGUGAAACUGCGAAUGGCUCAUUAAAUCAGUUAUCGUUUAUUUGAUAGUACUUUACUACUUGGAUAACCGUGGUAAUUCUAGAGCUAAUACAUGCUAAAAAUCCCGACCUCCGGAAGGGAUGUAUUUAUUAGAUAAAAAACCAAUGCCUUCGGGCUCCUUGGUGAUUCAUGAUAACUUAACGAAUCGCAUGGCCUUGCGCCGGCGAUGGUUCAUUCAAAUUUCUGCCCUAUCAACUUUCGAUGGUAGGAUAGUGGCCUACCAUGGUUUCAACGGGUAACGGGGAAUUAGGGUUCGAUUCCGGAGAGGGAGCCUGAGAAACGGCUACCACAUCCAAGGAAGGCAGCAGGCGCGCAAAUUACCCAAUCCCAAUUCGGGGAGGUAGUGACAAUAAAUACUGAUACAGGGCUCUUUUGGGUCUUGUAAUUGGAAUGAGUACAAUUUAAAUCCCUUAACGAGGAACAAUUGGAGGGCAAGUCGGGCCC